Molecule: ribosomal RNA, 482 nt
Filed under: Aeromonas sp.
Lineage: Bacteria; Pseudomonadati; Pseudomonadota; Gammaproteobacteria; Aeromonadales; Aeromonadaceae
Description: bacterial SSU rRNA
Rfam family: Bacterial small subunit ribosomal RNA
Source: RNAcentral
AGAGUUUGAUCAUGGCUCAGAUUGAACGCUGGCGGCAGGCCUAACACAUGCAAGUCGAGCGGCAGCGGGAAAGUAGCUUGCUACUUUUGCCGGCGAGCGGCGGACGGGUGAGUAAUGCCUGGGGAUCUGCCCAGUCGAGGGGGAUAACUACUGGAAACGGUAGCUAAUACCGCAUACGCCCUACGGGGGAAAGCAGGGGACCUUCGGGCCUUGCGCGAUUGGAUGAACCCAGGUGGGAUUAGCUAGUUGGUGAGGUAAUGGCUCACCAAGGCGACGAUCCCUAGCUGGUCUGAGAGGAUGAUCAGCCACACUGGAACUGAGACACGGUCCAGACUCCUACGGGAGGCAGCAGUGGGGAAUAUUGCACAAUGGGGGAAACCCUGAUGCAGCCAUGCCGCGUGUGUGAAGAAGGCCUUCGGGUUGUAAAGCACUUUCAGCGAGGAGGAAAGGUUGGUAGCUAAUAACUGCCAGCUGUGACGUUA